GAUGAACGCUAGCGGCAGGCCUAAUACAUGCAAGUCGAGCGGUAGAGUGACUUCGGUUGCUUGAGAGCGGCGCACGGGUGAGUAACGCGUACACAACUUACCUUCAACUGUGGGAUAGCCCUGGGAAACUGGGAGUAAUACCGCAUGUGAUCUAAGGGCAGCAUUGUUCUAAGAUUAAAGCUGAGGCGGUUGGAGAUGGG
This 200-nucleotide ribosomal RNA is filed under the name uncultured bacterium. RNAcentral describes it as "partial 16S ribosomal RNA". It matches the Rfam family "Bacterial small subunit ribosomal RNA", at positions 28 to 229 of the family's 1533-position model. The record is from RNAcentral.